CCCAGGUCAGGCGAGGCCACC
This 21-nucleotide ribosomal RNA is filed under the name Najas flexilis. RNAcentral describes it as "partial 26S ribosomal RNA". RNAcentral also lists the same sequence under 1 other name. Lineage: Eukaryota; Viridiplantae; Streptophyta; Magnoliopsida; Alismatales; Hydrocharitaceae. The record is from RNAcentral.